This 252-nucleotide ribosomal RNA is filed under the name uncultured bacterium. Its description in RNAcentral is "partial 16S ribosomal RNA". It matches the Rfam family "Bacterial small subunit ribosomal RNA", at positions 524 to 776 of the family's 1533-position model. The record is from RNAcentral.
UACGGAGGAUGCGAGCGUUAUCCGGAUUUAUUGGGUUUAAAGGGUGCGCAGGCGGUCUGUUAAGUCAGCGGUCAAAGCCCGGGGCUCAACCCCGGCCCGCCGUUGAAACUGGCAGUCUCGAGUUGGAGAGAAGUAUGCGGAAUGCGCGGUGUAGCGGUGAAAUGCGUAGAUAUCGCGCAGAACUCCGAUUGCGAAGGCAGCAUGCCGGCUCCACACUGACGCUGAGGCACGAAAGCGUGGGUAUCGAACAGG